AUGACGCAGAAGCAGGCGUCGCCUCAUCAAACUGCAAGUCCGCCACGCCAUAUCCCGGCCCCACCUGACCGACCAAAGUUGCUCUCGGUUUGGGGGCAAAGCGGACAGAAAGCGGACGCCUUUGCGUCCUCGUCGUCCGCCUGUGUCCGCCUCGACCCCACAUGUCACUCUCUCCUUUUCUGUACCUGGCUCACCAUGUGCACCCACGACCACGACAGUCGUGCGGUGGAGUUGGCCUCACAGAGUAGGCCGUGUAUCGAUGGCCUGUUGAAAAGGGAAAGCGGGUCUGGGCCGGGUCGUGGCCGCCCUACCAUCCCGUCUUUUCCCUCGCCUCUCCCCCCCCUAGUCGAAACGAACGAGCGCGUCCGUCGCCACACGUCACGAACGGGCGACCUGAAGCUCAGCUCAGACACACAGAUGAGAGUAAAUUGCACAGAAGUACCACAAUUGGGGCAUUGGAAGCAGAUUGGUACCAAGUUUGUGUAUCUGACCGGCGGGGCCCGCCUGUCAGCUGCCGACGUGGCAUUUUUUUGCAGAAAACCCCCCGCACCUCCUUCGUCCUCAUGCGGGGCGGCGCCUGGUCUGGAUCGAGGGGAGGAUCCCCUCGAGCCCGAGCUCCUCUCGCAUCACCGCCGCCCCCGCUCGCGUCGGAGCUGCCCCUGCUCGCGCCGCCGCGGCCUCUGCUCGCGGCCCAAGAUCGCCGACAGGGCGACGAGCGACGUGGUGGUGCGACUGCGGAUGCCGGACUCGGGCCGGGACGAAUGGCUCUACUGCCACUCCGGCGUGCUCGCCGCCGGGAGCGGCUACUUCGCCGACCGCCUCUCCGACGCCUGGCCGACGUGCCAGAUCCUGCUUGAGGCCGCCGACCCCGUCUCUCGCUUCGGAUUCAGCAGCGCGCUCGCCCUGCUCGAGGCCGCCGCGCACCUCGGCUGCGCCCGCACCGCCGCCGCCUGCGCCGACUACCUCGAGUCCGCCCCCUGGGAUGAGGCCGACGAGGAGGAGAUCCUCGCCGCCAGCCACGCGCUCGCCUUCUUGCUGCCGGGAUACCCGUGCAUGCUGUCCUCCACGGGACGCGGCUCCCUUGCCACUCGGCGUCCCGCUGGUGAGCCCACCGUCGAGCAGCCGCUCUGGCCGUGCCGAGGCGCUUGGGCUCGCGAGUCCUCCCUGGUGACUCAUUCGAGGACGAGCGCGGCGGGAUCUCUUCUCGCUGUCGGUGAUGCGGCCGGUCGGCCAGCGCUGGGGUCUCCGCCGUGCUCUCCUCCCCUCGAUCCAGAUCGAGCGCCGCCGUGCGUGAGGACGAAGGAGGUGCGGGGGGUUUUCUGCAAAAAAAAUGCCACGUCGGCAGCUGACAGGCGGGCCCCGCCGAGCGGGCAAAGAUCUCCUCUGUUUUGUUUAAGCAAAACAAAUCCAAGCGACCGUCCGAGGAAGCUGCGACGAAGCUGCGUCCCCCCUCCCCGCCGCGCGCGGAUCCAGACGUGGACUCGUGGAGGUGGCAACGGCGGUUGGGAGUCGGGCCGGUAUGCAUGCAUCAUCGGGUAUGGCGAGGUGGUGGAGGGAGCCCGCGCGAGUCGGCUGGAGGGUUGCGCGCGGAUGGACGGCCUCGAUUCGAUCAAGGUCAAGGGGGGCAUGGAUCGGCGCUGGCUAGCUCGGGUCACCCAAAGUCACCGACUGGUUUCGAGUCCGCUCCACUCCACCGGCCCCUGCUCCUGUCGUGUCUGUCCAUCCAACCAGAGCCGCAAAACAACGAAAUACCAACAAAUCUCCGUCCAAGUUAGCUACAAACCAAACGAGAUCGAGAUAUGCAUGCAUGGCUCGAUCACUCCCGUCCUGUCCAUCCACUGGUGGCAGUUUGAUUCAGCUACCACACCGGUGGUGCUGGCCUAUCGACAAGACAAGUGCGAUACGGAUCGAAACCCCACAACAAACUCGGUCCAACUUGGUGGCUCCAAACGAAACGAGUCGUUGUCCCUGGCGAUAAGUUGUGUUUGGGCGUUCUCGGCGUCGCUCCUUUGUUGGGACUAUCGUGCAUGGACACAUGAGUUGCAGGUCCUGCGUUGCGUUCCUUCGGUGGCCGUUGCUGUCCAGGUUGAUCUUCAAGGGAUAUAUCCUGCACAUGGGGCCAGUGAGACGCGGCCCCACAUGGCAUCCAGCCAGGGGAAACGACAAGCGCCGCGGUUGGAUGGGGCCUCGUGCGGCCAGCUGUUGCUGCCGCCCACAUCACCGGCCGUGUCCGGCUACAAAUACCACGCUCCCAUCUCCUUCCCCCGACAACCACCACCACCACCACCGCUCGCCGCCACCCACAAGAAUCAAUCGUCUUCCCGUGAUCCCAUUCCGUCGUAG
This 2343-nucleotide ribosomal RNA is filed under the name Triticum aestivum (bread wheat). Its description in RNAcentral is "partial small subunit ribosomal RNA". Lineage: Eukaryota; Viridiplantae; Streptophyta; Magnoliopsida; Poales; Poaceae. The record is from RNAcentral.